Molecule: long non-coding RNA, 3157 nt
Organism: Bombus pyrosoma
Lineage: Eukaryota; Metazoa; Arthropoda; Insecta; Hymenoptera; Apidae
Exons: 3
Source: RefSeq, a predicted model, not a curated record
UGCUGAUCCUGCGCCGCUGCACUGAAUGUCAGAGACCUCGUAAUCCUGGGCAACGGUGGCGGCAACCUGAAACAAUACGACAGUCAUUCAUCUACACAGGUUUGCUCGAACGACAUUCGUGACCUCCUGGUUCACUGAUUUUUCAUCAAUAAUCUUGAAUGGACGACGAUAUGAAACGAGCGGAUUUACGAAAAAUUCGCGGCGAAAUUGGAAAAACGUGAUCCAAAUGCAGCCGCGUAAUUAACGAUUUCAAGUCGGGCUAAUAAAUUACCUUGGAUCAUCUGUGUCAACUGCAUGCAUAUUAAAUAUGCAGGAUAUUAAAACUACAUAGAAUUAUAAAUAAUUCAUAGAUUUUUCGCGUAGUUACCUUAAUUAGUAAUUAAAAUGUCACAUGGAUGUAAACACUACGGAGAUAAUCAAUUUCGAUGUUGUCACAGACAUUGUGUUUUUUAUCCGUUGGCUGGAAAAAACAAGAUACUGAACUUGUUGCGCAAGUGUUUUAACAUAGGAAAUUACUUAGUCCCUUUAAUCUAAACUGUUUUAUGAUGCUCGAAAGAAAUAAAAACAUGUCGAUACCAGACUUAUCAUUAUAAUAUGAAAUAUAUUACUUCUGUGUUCUGUAAGAUCUAGAGGCACAUUUAUAUUGGUGUAUGUGUCAAUAUGAUAUCUAUCAUAUUAUUGAUAGCUUUCUUAUGUUGUAUAUUACUUUUAAGAGAGAUUUUGGAUUUUCCGUCCUUUGCAAAUUUAUCCCGGGGUGAGAAGAUUCGAACUCGCGACGGCGUUGUCCUCCUGAGUCGCAAGCUUUAACAAGCGUAGCUGGCUGCCCCGCCGAUAGCUUUCUUAUGUACUUAUAUAAACAAAAGAACUGGUAGGAUCUAUGUAGUUAGUUAACGUACUAACAAUAUUAGUAAUUUAGCUUAUAACUGUAAUGUGCAAUGGAAUCUAAUGUUACUGGUUGGUAAGUUAUUGUACAUCGAACUAUUGGUGAAUCUUAUUCCAAUUAUACGAACGCUUGCAAUUUUGCGUACGUUAGUAAGCAAAAGAAUGGGUAACAUACGUUCGAAUACAGUUAUUCGAACAUGCUCUCCGGUUAUUUCAGUGACAAAUUAUAGAUAGUGAAGAAAAUCAGCGAUCUCCUGUUAUAAGAUGUCCAGUUAUCCAAAUCGUUUCCUCAGGUAUAAGUAGAAUUAAGUAAAAAUAACGACAAGUAGAAUCCUACUGUCUACUAUCCAUGUACAUAAUUCUACUUAACAUAAUUCUACUACGAAAGUUUGAAACAUAUUGGAAUUCCAAAAGAAAUAAUGACUUCCUCAAGAGUAAAAGAUAGUGCAAACUUCUGAGCAGACAAAAACGAAAAGAUCCGAUCGUUUAACGAAAUUUUAAAUCCAUGGUCGAAAGAAGUUACUAAUUUAGAAAUCGAUACGGUUAAAGAGUUAAUAAGCAUUGAGCCAUUACUUGGCCGAUAUGGCGUGCGUCGAAACUGUUAUUGUAACAGCACUUUAAUCGGACACGGGUGAAGCAAACGACGCUGAAACACAAAGUUUUCGAUGGAAUUGGAACGUCCGACGAUGAUUUCCGAAUCGUUAAACGGAAACUAUUCGCAUUAAAGAAGAAACCGACCGGUUGGAAGGGAAAAAUAAGAGGACCCCAGUUACUGCGUGGUCGUGACAGUCGAGGUAUCCAAUUUGUGGAGUUAAUAGAAGUUUGAUCAAGCCUUGUUUCAAAUUGAAUGCCAAACUAUGGAUUGCUGCCGGUCGAUAGGACUUUUAUCGAAACGUUAAUGUUUUUUCGAUCGAUCGUCCGACACCGGUCGGGUCUCGUUCGAUGAACGAACGCGAUCCUGUUCUCUGUAUCACGAAAUUCAAUUGAAACUGCGAAUAAUAAUACUACCAAUUGUAAUAAUAAUGGCAAACUCGACGGCGGUAAUAGGAACGCUGUAUCGCUGCGUUUCUGUUUAUUUCGCAUAAAUCGCCGCUUAUCGAAAUUGGAACGUAACAUUUCACUUUUUUAUCAUACUGUAAGGUACUUUCCACUACUAUCGUAUACGUAUAGCCUUCUCAAUUUUUUCAUAUUUCAGGGGCUUAUAGAUAAAGCGUGAUACGAGUGAAAAUGAUUUGAAUUUGAAAAAAUUGUGAUCAAGUAGACUACGGAUUUCUGUGCAUUUAUACGAAAUUUCAAGAAAUGGAAAAAUAAAGAAUUGUAAAAAUAGAAUAUGGUAGAAUACAUACAAAAGGGAAAAAUACAUCAAAUUUCCAAGAUAGUGUAUUUGCCGUUAUUUUUUUUAUAGAUGUUAUAAAUCUCUAUUCAGAUUCUAUUUCUUUCCUUGUACUGGCAAAAAUGUAAAUUUGCAUAAUAAUCCGCAGUCCAAUACAUAAUUAGAUUUCAUCGAUAUCGAUAAAUGAUUAAUAAAUGUUAUAAUAUCUCAGAUGUAAUUGUUAAAUUUGUUGCAGGUAUGUCGUAGAUACCGUGUCGUUAAAUUAAAGGUAAAUUAACAGAGCAGUGGUGAGUGAUACACGCGUGGAAGAAUUUACGUAAAGUGUUACAUGCGCGUGUGCGCGGUACGCUCCGAUUCGAUUGAUGCGCGGAAGGUUAACGGGAAGAGACAAACAGCCGAAUCUGUUACGUGAAACGGGCCCUCGUGUGCGCCUGGUUCCCUCGAGAUUACUUCCUAGAUAACUAUAUACACGUACAUUUCUUCGUUUUAUUCUUUUUUACGAAAGAACCGCACCCGUCUCUUUUAUGGCGCCGUAAAUUCCUUAUUUCUCACUGGCGCUUUUGGCAGGAUGACAUGAAUUUGUCUCCGCAUAUGGGAUACCAUACAAGUUAAUAACUUCCUGAAUAGCCUGUUGAUGAAGAAAUCUUGAAUUUACUAAUGAUCGAACGUUGAGACUUUGGAAUGGUAUAAAUUAACGAAAUCUGAUUUGGAAAGAUUUAUAUCUGAUUAUCGGAUAGUUUAUUUAUUAUAUACUUUUGUAUCGAUAUACAUAAUGUUGGUAUACUGGUCUACUUAGAUUUUAUACUCCUGCGAUUAAUUUAUUGCACGUCAUAAAUUAUAGUUUUUUAUAUUAUAUAUAAUGUCUUUUACAUUGUUUUAACCCUAAACUCUAAAUAUACAAAAUACGUGUUAAUGUAAAUAGACUGUCUUACUAAAAAUAUA